AACGAACACUGGCGGCAGGCCUAACACAUGCAAGUCGAGCGCCCCGCAAGGGGAGCGGCGGACGGGUGAGUAACGCGUGGGAACGUACCCUUUGCUACGGAAUAGCCUCGGGAAACUGGGAGUAAUACCGUAUGUGUCCUUCGGGAGAAAGAUUUAUCGGCAAGGGAUCGGCCCGCGUUGGAUUAGGUAGUUGGUGGGGUAAUGGCCUACCAAGCCGACGAUCCAUAGCUGGUUUGAGAGGAUGAUCAGCCACACUGGGACUGAGACACGGCCCAGACUCCUACGGGAGGCAGCAGUGGGGAAUCUUAGACAAUGGGCGCAAGCCUGAUCUAGCCAUGCCGCGUGAGCGAUGAAGGCCUUAGGGUUGUAAAGCUCUUUCAGGGGGGAAGAUAAUGACUGUACCCCCAGAAGAAGCCCCGGCUAACUCCGUG
This 431-nucleotide ribosomal RNA is filed under the name uncultured bacterium. RNAcentral's name for it is "partial 16S ribosomal RNA". It matches the Rfam family "Bacterial small subunit ribosomal RNA", at positions 29 to 507 of the family's 1533-position model. The record is from RNAcentral.